RNAcentral lists this ribosomal RNA (378 nucleotides) under uncultured bacterium. Its description in RNAcentral is "bacterial SSU rRNA". It matches the Rfam family "Bacterial small subunit ribosomal RNA", at positions 335 to 702 of the family's 1533-position model. The record is from RNAcentral.
ACUCCUACGGGAGGCAGCAGUAGGGAAUCUUCCCGCAAUGGGCGAAAGCCUGACGGAGCAACGCCGCGUGAGGUGAUGAAGGUCUUCGGAUCGUAAACUCUGUUAUUAGGGAAGAACAAAUGUGUAAGUAACUAUGCACCGUCUUGACGGUACCUAAUCAGAAAGCCACGGCUAACUACGUGCCAGCCAGCCGCGGUAAUACGUAGGUGGCAAGCGUUUAUCCGGAAUUAUUGGGCGUAAAGCGCGCGUAGGCGGUUUUUAAGUCUGAUGUGAAAGCCCACGGCUCAACCGUGGAGGGUCAUUGGAAACUGGAAAACUUGAGUGCAGAAGAGGAAAGUGGAAUUCCAUGUGUAGCGGUGAAAUGCGCAGAGAUAUGGA